This 89-nucleotide microRNA precursor is filed under the name Ophiophagus hannah (king cobra). RNAcentral's name for it is "microRNA oha-mir-429 precursor". Its record names the gene oha-mir-429. The stretch from base 15 to 85 matches the Rfam family "mir-8/mir-141/mir-200 microRNA precursor family". Rfam says of the family: The bounds of the precursors are predicted based on conservation and base pairing and are not generally known. The record is from miRBase by way of RNAcentral. Lineage: Eukaryota; Metazoa; Chordata; Lepidosauria; Squamata; Elapidae.
CUGCUUGCCGGCCGAUCGCUGUCUUACCAGACAAAUUUAGAUCUUAAUCUAUCGCUGUCUAAUACUGUCUGGUAAUGCCGUCGAUUUGC